Molecule: long non-coding RNA, 4050 nt
Organism: Sarcophilus harrisii (Tasmanian devil)
Lineage: Eukaryota; Metazoa; Chordata; Mammalia; Dasyuromorphia; Dasyuridae
Source: Ensembl
AUAAAAUUGAAAAGUUGUACACAGACAAAAUGGUAUUAGCAAGGAAAGUUGAGAGAAAAAAUGUGCUUGCAGCAAAUAUUUUUGACAAAGGAACUAAGAACUGAUACAAAUGUAUGAAGAUGGAGCCAUUUUCCAGUAGAUAGCCAAAGGAUUUCAACAGUAGGUUUCAAUAGAAGAAACCUAAGCUAUCAACAAUAAUAUGCAAAAUAUAUUCUAAAAAUAUAAGAAAUGCUAACUAAAACAUCUGAGUUUCCACUUUACACACAUCAAAUUGGUAAAAAUAACAAGGAAAUUACAAUUGGGUGAAGAUGGGUACGUUAAUAAUAUUUGAUGGAACUGUGAAGUGGUCCAAUCAUUUUGGAAAGCAAUUUGGAACUAUGCCCAAAAGUCAUCAAAUUUUUCUACAGUAUAGGCAUGUAAUCCCCAAAUAGAUCAAAAACAGAAUGAAAGGACUCAUGUGUACAAAAAAGAAAAUUAUAGCAAUAUUUUUUUGUGGUAAAAGAGAGCUGGAAACAAUUUCUUAUUCAGUUAUAUCAGCCCUCUCUAACUCUUUGGGAUGUCAUUUGGGGUUUUCUUGGCAAAGAUAUUGGAAUGGUUCCUUCUCCAGCUCAUUCUACAUAUGAGGAACUGAGGUCCAGGAUCACACAACAAGACAAGAUUAGACUUCAUGAAAAUGAUUCUUCCUGAAAAGGCCCAGCAUUCUGUCUACUUCAGUUACUAGCUUCCCUGGAAACAGUAGAUUUCUAUCAACUAGAGAAGGCUAAAUAAAUUGUCUAAAGAAUCUAAUGAAAUAGUACUGUGCUAUGAAGAAAUAUUCAGAUUCAGAGAUUUUUAAGAAUGUUUAUAUAAGCUGAUACUAAGUAAGUGAAUGAAACAAGAUCAAACAAAAAGCUGUAUGUGGCCAUAACAUGGGAAAAGCAAAUAAUGAGACAGUGUAAUCAUAGAAGUAUAGAUUUAGAACGGGAAUUUCUUAAAAUAUUAAUACUAGAAAAGUAGAGAUUAGAAAAUAGUUGAGAACAAGUCACCACUGAUGAGUCAAAGAUGUUCCAUAAUUGGAACUAGUUUGGGUAAAAAGUUUCGAGAAGAAAAACAGAAGGAAGCACAUCAGCCAAAAUCAAAAGUACCUUUUCAAUGUCUCUUCCACCUUGAUUUAAGUAAGGAUCUGUUAGGAGAGGAAAAACGAAAGCUUGCAAAUUUUCCUCACCAGUGUUGAAUAAAAGAAUUACAUUGUGUUUUUUGUCUUUUUUAGCCUAAUUUUCCUAGUAUGCUUGCUUGCCAAAAAUUAUUUUAUGGAGAACACACAGGGCAAGUGCUCACAAGGUGGUCAGAAAAAGCGAUAAGGGCACUCUCAAGGUCUCUCUUAAGAACUUUGGAACUGAUUGCAGGGCAUGGGAGACACUGGUAAGGACCAUCCAGCACGGCAUGCCCUCAUCAGAGAAGAUGCUGUGCCUUAUGAGCAAAGCAGAACUAAAGUAAAUAAGAAGAAAUUCAAGAUGUGAAAAGUUAGAGAAACCACCCCAAAUGUACAAAUAUAUAAAACUUACAUCAGCCAAUUACAGCUGCCCAGCUAUUGGUAUAACAGAAUCCAAAUCCCCUUAGGACACACUCCACCUUACCCCUACCAUAUUUUAAUCUUCUCACGUCCAAAGUGAUCCACCCAACCUUUAUGUCCUAUCCACCUCUAGGUACAAAUCCCUCAGUCUACCAAAAAGCAUUGAAGAGUUUCUUAUCAUAAAUAUCCUGAUAGAUUUCCAAUCAUGGCUCCUUUUCUGUUGUAAGAAUUCUAGCCAUCAAAGAUUCAUGUGUUGUGCACACAAUUGAACCUUGGAUACUAUUUAUUUCUGUCUAAAGGAGAAACUCUGGGAGUGCACCUGAGAACAGGGGCUUUUAUUUAUUUGUCCCAAAUGGAUCAAUGCAGUUAUUUCUUAUUUUCUUAUAUUUACUAUUUUUCUUAUCCCCUCAUCACCAUGCACACUUUAUUUUUGUGUAAAAAGUAUUAUAUUUUUUUCCAAUUACAUGUAGUUUUCAGCAUUCAUUUUUUAUGAGAUUUUGAUUUCCAAAAUUUUUCUCCCUCCAAUUCCCCUUCCCUAAGACAGCAAGCAAUCUGAUAAAAGUUAUAGAUGUAAACAUAUUUCCAUAUUAGUCAUGUUAUAAAAGAAGAAAGAGAACAAAAAGAAAAAGCUACCAAAAGAAGUGAAAAUACUAUGCUUCUAUCUAUAGUCAGUCUCUUUCUUUCUCUGGGUUUGAAUAGCAUUUUACUAUCAUGUCAUGAUUCUUUUGGAAUAUCUAGGAUCAUUCUUUUGCUGAGAAAAGCCAGGUCAAUCAUAGUUUUUCAUCAUACAAUGCUGAUAUUUCUGUAUGCAACUUUCUCCUGGUUCUGUUCAAUUCACUCAGCAUCAGUUCAUGUAAGUCUUUCCAGGUUUUUGUGGUCAGUCUGCUCAUCAUUUCUUACAGUACAAAAGUAUUCCAUUACAUUUAUAUACCACAACUUGUUCAGUCAUUUCCCCAAUGAUUUGUUCAAUUUCCAAUUCUUUGCUACCACAAAAAGAGCUGCUAUAAAUAUUUUUGUACAUAUAAGUACCUUUCCCUUUUUAAUGAUUUCUUUGGAAUACAGACCUAGUAGUAGUCUAGUAGUCGUAUUACUGCAUCAGAGGAUAUGUAGUUUUAAACUGCUCACCAGAAUAACUGAUCAGUUUAAAACUCCACCAACAAUGCAUUAGUACAUUUCCAAUUUUGUGUAAAAUUAAUUUAGAGAAAUAGGUUAAGAGGUUAUAGAGGCCUUGAAUGUGAAGCUGAAAUAUUUGCAACUAAUUAGAAUAGGAAGAAAUGGAAAAAAAAGGUAUGGAAAUUUCUAUAACAAACCAAAUCACCAUAUUUUGAUUCAAACAUUUCAUUGUAUGCUACAUGAAGUGGAAAUGGUACUAAAUAAAACAAAGCUGAAUAUGAGGUUGCCCCAGGAACAUAUCUUCCACAUACUCACCACCUCAUAACAAUAAGAAAUUUUCCAAAGCAAAAAAAGACAAAACAAAAGUACCAAGUGCAUAUUCCAAGUUCCCCAUGAUUAUAGUGGUAUUUUCCCCUUGUAAUCACACCACAACAGAAACCUAAAAGGACAACUCUCCAUCUUUUACAAGGGAGAUUGUUGAACUCACCUAGCCUUUAUGGUCUGGAUAAGAUGAAAUGAAACAGCUGUGGGAUAGAGAGAGAAUCAGUAAGGUACAGUGUUAUUUGGAAUGGAAGGAAAAGAACUUGUGGCAAGAAAAUCAAGAGACAGGCCAUAAGCUCAGGAUUGGCUCAUCACCAGUCAUGACAGCCCCAAAUAGCUUUAAAAAAAAAAAAAAGCACCAAAUAAACAAGAACAUUGGGGGGAGAAAUGGGUAUUUUGAGCAAAAUGGAUGAGUGAAUGAUUAGGUCUAAUCUUAAUCCAUACCCACUAUCUCAAAAUAGCUACCAAUGUGCCAAAAGUAGUAAAGAAUAAAAAUAAACAGAAUAAGGUUUUUUAAAGGAAUAUAUCAUAGGAAUGACAUCACAGAUAAACUAGCAGUAAGUUGGAUUCUAAAAAGGGAAAAUAAGUAAACAGAGUCAAUUAAAAACAAAUACUACAAAGUCAAGGAAAGUGAUUCUGUGUUGUAGAAGGAAUUCUCUUGUAGAUAGAAGUUAGAUUGGAUAAUCUCUCAUGUUUCUUCUAACUGAGCUUUUGUUAUUUAGUUAGGGGACCCUACAGCCUGCAGAAGCAAGCCAAGAUUGGCUGGGAGUGAGGGCAGGAGAAGAGUCUCUGCCAGGCUUAACCAAAAGAUAUCUAAGGCAAUGAAUUCUGUAGAACAUCCAAACAUUAUAUUAGAUCAACAGCAAAAAAAACAAAAACAGGAUAAUUCGCAAAAGGAUUAAAAUAGGAAUAAAGAUGAAAAUUCAAUCAAUUAUAUUAAUAAAUUAAUAAAUAUUAAUAAAUUUAAAAAUUAAGUACAUACUAUGUGCCAAGCUUUGAGGUAGGCACAGGAGAUUAAAAAAAAAAGACAAAAAUUUUAAAAAAACUCGAGUUUAUAAUCUAGC